This 1149-nucleotide ribosomal RNA is filed under the name Triticum aestivum (bread wheat). Its description in RNAcentral is "partial small subunit ribosomal RNA". Lineage: Eukaryota; Viridiplantae; Streptophyta; Magnoliopsida; Poales; Poaceae. The record is from RNAcentral.
AUGUCUGAUUCAAAGACAAUAAACAUAGGUCUAAUUGUCGGGAUAGUAUCCGCUGGUAUCUUUGUGCUGGUCGUUAUAGCCGCAUGGCUUGGCUACCACAACUGUCUAAAAGGGAAGGGUAUAGCAUCCGGAGGUGCAAAGACCCCUUUCGACCAAGACAUGGACAUUGAGUUUGAAAAGGGGGUAGGGCCACGGAGAUUCAGGUACAACGAGAUAUCGCGGGCCACUCGGGGAUUCUCUGACGAGGAGAAGCUCGGCGAGGGCGGCUUCGGGGCAGUAUACCGAGGGUUCUUGCAAGACCAGGGGCUCCAUGUGGCCAUCAAGAGAGUUUCCAAGACAUCGAGUCAAGGGAGAAGGGAAUACAUCGCAGAAGUGACCAUCAUCGGCCGACUAAGGCAUCACAACCUUGUCCAGCUUGUCGGGUGGUGCCAUAAAGACGACGAGCUCCUGCUCGUCUACGAGCUUAUGACGAACGGCAGCCUCGAUGCCCAUCUCUACAAUUCCACGGAAGUCCUAACAUGGGCAACCAGGUACCAGAUCAUACUUGGCAUGGGAUCUGCUCGGACAUACCUGCACCAGGAGUGGGAGCAGUGCGUGGUGCACAGCGACAUCAAGCCAAGCAACGUGAUGCUUGACUCAUCGUUCAACGCCAAGCUGGGGGACUUCGGGCUCGCGCGCCUCGUCAACCACAGCAGCGGCGCUCACACCACGACGACGUUGGCCGGCACCAAGGGCUACAUGGACCCGGCGUACGCGGUGACCAUCCGGGCUAGCGCGCAGACCAACGUGUACAGCUUUGGGGUCGUCCUCCUCGAGAUCGCCUGUGGCCGUCGACCCGCAGGAGGAGGAGGAGAGCAAGGUCCUGCUCGUCGAGUGGGUCUGGGAGCUGUACGGGAGAGAUGCGCUCCUCGACGCGGCGGACGGCGACAUGGACGCGCGCGAGAUGGAGUGCGCGCUGGUCACGGGCCUCUGGUGCGUCCACCCGGACUACGGCUUCCGGCCGUCCAUCCGACAAGCCAUGAGCGUGCUCCAGUUCGAGGCGCCGCUUCCGGAACUCCCCCCGGAGACAGUGUGCCCGGAGAGGCCGGUGGUAGUGUAGGCGCCGCCUCACGGAGGGUACAGAUCGAGCUACACGUCGUCGGCUGGUAG